This 253-nucleotide ribosomal RNA is filed under the name uncultured bacterium. RNAcentral's name for it is "partial 16S ribosomal RNA". It matches the Rfam family "Bacterial small subunit ribosomal RNA", at positions 524 to 776 of the family's 1533-position model. The record is from RNAcentral.
UACGGGGGGGGCAAGCGUUGUUCGGAAUUACUGGGCGUAAAGGGCUCGUAGGCGGCCAACUAAGUCGGAUGUGAAAUCCCCAGGCUCAACUUGGGAACUGCAUCCGAUACUGGAUGGCUUGAAUUCGGGAGAGGGAUGCAGAAUUCCAGGUGUAGCGGUGAAAUGCGUAGAUAUCUGGAGGAAUACCGGUGGCGAAGGCGGCAUCCUGGACCGACAUUGACGCUGAACGGCGAAAGCUAGGGGAGCAAACGGG